Molecule: ribosomal RNA, 1438 nt
Filed under: Salmonella enterica
Lineage: Bacteria; Pseudomonadati; Pseudomonadota; Gammaproteobacteria; Enterobacterales; Enterobacteriaceae
Description: partial 23S ribosomal RNA
Rfam family: Bacterial large subunit ribosomal RNA
Source: RNAcentral
GACUCGUCACACUAUCAUUAACUGAAUCCAUAGGUUAAUGAGGCGAACCGGGGGAACUGAAACAUCUAAGUACCCCGAGGAAAAGAAAUCAACCGAGAUUCCCCCAGUAGCGGCGAGCGAACGGGGAGGAGCCCAGAGCCUGAAUCAGCAUGUGUGUUAGUGGAAGCGUCUGGAAAGGCGCGCGAUACAGGGUGACAGCCCCGUACACAAAAGCGCAUGUGCUGUGAGCUCGAUGAGUAGGGCGGGACACGUGGUAUCCUGUCUGAAUAUGGGGGGACCAUCCUCCAAGGCUAAAUACUCCUGACUGACCGAUAGUGAACCAGUACCGUGAGGGAAAGGCGAAAAGAACCCCGGCGAGGGGAGUGAAAAAGAACCUGAAACCGUGUACGUACAAGCAGUGGGAGCACCCUUUGGGGUGUGACUGCGUACCUUUUGUAUAAUGGGUCAGCGACUUAUAUUCUGUAGCAAGGUUAACCGAAUAGGGGAGCCGGAGGGAAACCGAGUCUUAAUUGGGCGUUAAGUUGCAGGGUAUAGACCCGAAACCCGGUGAUCUAGCCAUGGGCAGGUUGAAGGUUGGGUAACACUAACUGGAGGACCGAACCGACUAAUGUUGAAAAAUUAGCGGAUGACCUGUGGCUGGGGGUGAAAGGCCAAUCAAACCGGGAGAUAGCUGGUUCUCCCCGAAAGCUAUUUAGGUAGCGCCUCGUGAAUUCAUCUCCGGGGGUAGAGCACUGUUUCGGCUAGGGGGCCAUCCCGGCUUACCAACCCGAUGCAAACUGCGAAUACCGGAGAAUGUUAUCACGGGAGACACACGGCGGGUGCUAACGUCCGUCGUGAAGAGGGAAACAACCCAGACCGCCAGCUAAGGUCCCAAAGUCAUGGUUAAGUGGGAAACGAUGUGGGAAGGCCCAGACAGCCAGGAUGUUGGCUUAGAAGCAGCCAUCAUUUAAAGAAAGCGUAAUAGCUCACUGGUCGAGUCGGCCUGCGCGGAAGAUGUAACGGGGCUAAACCAUGCACCGAAGCUGCGGCAGCGACACUCAGGUGUUGUUGGGUAGGGGAGCGUUCUGUAAGCCUGCGAAGGUGGCCUGUGAGGGUUGCUGGAGGUAUCAGAAGUGCGAAUGCUGACAUAAGUAACGAUAAAGCGGGUGAAAAGCCCGCUCGCCGGAAGACCAAGGGUUCCUGUCCAACGUUAAUCGGGGCAGGGUGAGUCGACCCCUAAGGCGAGGCCGAAAGGCGUAGUCGAUGGGAAACGGGUUAAUAUUCCCGUACUUGGUGUUACUGCGAAGGGGGGACGGAGAAGGCUAUGUUGGCCGGGCGACGGUUGUCCCGGUUUAAGCGUGUAGGUGUGUGUUCCAGGUAAAUCCGGUUCACUUUAACACUGAGGCGUGACGACGAGGCACUACGGUGCUGAAGCAACAAAUGCCCUGCUUCCAGGAAA